Molecule: ribosomal RNA, 497 nt
Filed under: uncultured bacterium
Lineage: Bacteria
Description: partial 16S ribosomal RNA
Rfam family: Bacterial small subunit ribosomal RNA
Source: RNAcentral
GACGAACGCUGGCGGCGUGCCUAAUACAUGCAAGUUGAGCGAUGAAGAUUGGUGCUUGCACCAAUUUGAAGAGCAGCGAACGGGUGAGUAACGCGUGGGGAAUCUGCCUUUGAGCGGGGGACAACAUUUGGAAACGAAUGCUAAUACCGCAUAAUAACUUUAAACAUAAGCUUUAAGUUUGAAAGAUGCAAUUGCAUCACUCAAAGAUGAUCCCGCGUUGUAUUAGCUAGUUGGUGAGGUAAAGGCUCACCAAGGCGAUGAUACAUAGCCGACCUGAGAGGGUGAUCGGCCACAUUGGGACUGAGACAUGGCCCAAACUCCUACGGGAGGCAGCAGUAGGGAAUCUUCGGCAAUGGACGAAAGUCUGACCGAGCAACGCCGCGUGAGUGAAGAAGGUUUUCGGAUCGUAAAACUCUGUUGGUAGAGAAGAACGUUGGUGAGAGUGGAAAGCUCAUCAAGUGACGGUAACUACCCAGAAAGGGACGGCUAACUACGUG